This 505-nucleotide ribosomal RNA is filed under the name uncultured bacterium. RNAcentral describes it as "partial 16S ribosomal RNA". It matches the Rfam family "Bacterial small subunit ribosomal RNA", at positions 28 to 507 of the family's 1533-position model. The record is from RNAcentral.
GACGAACGCUGGCGGCGUGCCUAAUACAUGCAAGUAGAACGCACAGUUUAUACCGUAGCUUGCUACACCAUAGACUGUGAGUUGCGAACGGGUGAGUAACGCGUAGGUAACCUGCCUGGUAGCGGGGGAUAACUAUUGGAAACGAUAGCUAAUACCGCAUAAUAUUAAUUAUUGCAUGAUAAUUGAUUGAAAGAUGCAACUGCAUCCCUACUAGCUGGACCUGCGUUGUAUUAGCUAGUAGGUGAGGUAACGGCUCACCUAGGCGACGAUACAUAGCCGACCUGAGAGGGUGAUCGGCCACACUUGGACUGAGACAAGGGCCAGACCCCUAAGGGGGGGAGCAGGAGGGAAACUUCGGAAAUGGACGAAAGGCUGAACGAGGAAAGCCGGGGGAGGGAAGAAGGGUUUCGGAUCGGAAAGGUCUGUUGUAAGGGAAGAAAGGGUGGGAGAGUGGAAAGUUCACACUGUGACGGUACCUUAACAGAAAGGGACGGCUAACUACGUG